UACGUAGGGGGCAAGCGUUGUCCGGAAUCAUUGGGCGUAAAGCGCGCGUAGGCGGCCCGGUUAGUCCGCUGUAAAAGUCAAAGGCUCAACCUUUGAAUGCCGGUGGAUACUGCCGGGCUAGAGUCCGGAAGAGGCGAGUGGAAUUCCUGGUGUAGCGGUGGAAUGCGCAGAUAUCAGGAGGAACACCGAUAGCGAAGGCAGCUCGCUGGGACGGUACUGACGCUAAGGCGCGAAAGCGUGGGGAGCGAACAGG
Molecule: ribosomal RNA, 253 nt
Filed under: uncultured bacterium
Lineage: Bacteria
Description: partial 16S ribosomal RNA
Rfam family: Bacterial small subunit ribosomal RNA
Source: RNAcentral